Trichechus manatus latirostris (Florida manatee) is the source of this 499-nucleotide long non-coding RNA. RefSeq lists it as uncharacterized. Lineage: Eukaryota; Metazoa; Chordata; Mammalia; Sirenia; Trichechidae. The record is from RefSeq and is a predicted model, not a curated record. The transcript has 3 exons.
CCAUUUUGGUUAAGGGCAAGGAAGAAUUUGUGGGGUGAAGAUUUCUUAAACAAAACCUGCUAACGUUCUCUUUUACCUUCUUCGUAAGAAAGGACCAACUUCUACUAAAUUUUACUUACUAUAGCUCUGUUGAAAAUACCAAUGAUGAAAGAGAACAGAUUCAUCUAAAAGAGACGUUCAUGAGCAGCCAUCUUAGCUAUGGGCAAUAUAGUCUCCUCCUCCCCCACCGGUCGCCUUAUGUGUGAACAGCCGAACUCCCACAAGUCUCAGAAUUUGUGCACUUAAGAUCAGAAGGGCUGCCCUUCCUCAGCACUGGGCCUAUUAUGUCCCCUUGGACUCCGGCGGAUUCUACCCCCAAGAAGUAGACUUCAGAAAGUUUAAAAUCACGUUGCUUCCUGAGAAAGGUCGAACAAUUUCUAAUAUGAAAAAAAGGAAUAUUGCUCCGCUCACAAUAUUAAGCCCCUCUGUUAUAUCUGGUCAGAAUCGACUCCACGGCAAC